This 266-nucleotide ribosomal RNA is filed under the name uncultured prokaryote. RNAcentral's name for it is "partial 16S ribosomal RNA". It matches the Rfam family "Bacterial small subunit ribosomal RNA", at positions 524 to 790 of the family's 1533-position model. The record is from RNAcentral.
UACGUAGGUGGCGAGCGUUAUCCGGAAUUAUUGGGCGUAAAGAGCGCGCAGGUGGUUGAUUAAGUCUGAUGUGAAAGCCCACGGCUUAACCGUGGAGGGUCAUUGGAAACUGGUCGACUUGAGUGCAGAAGAGGGAAGUGGAAUUCCAUGUGUAGCGGUGAAAUGCGUAGAGAUAUGGAGGAACACCUGUGGCGAAGGCGGCCAGCUGGGAUACACCUGACGCUGAGGCACGAAGGCGUGGGGAGCGAACGGGAUUAGAUACCCGU